CCAGAGCUCCUCUCUGAGGUGUCAGGCACAAUGAUGUCAUAUUUUGCAGUGGAACAAACAGAACACGGUAUGGAUGGAAUACUGCAGAGCUUGCAGACAUCCUUCCAGAAAUGUUUAUGCCUUAAUCUGCUGGAAUUCACCAUAAAAUGGCUUGUAAAGGCAAUAUGCUAUCUAAGCAGCCUCUCCAGUUCUAGGAAACAGAUGCAAAACAACUGCUCCUAGAAUGGAAAAAAAGGCCUGAAUUCCUGUGCCAGCGGGGAUUAUGAGAUCAUGCUGUCUGUCAACUCCUCUUUCGUCCAUCUGUUCCUCUCCUCCUUUUCUUGAUAACUUCUGAACUUUCUGGCUAAUUUUCACCAAAUUUGACAAAGCAGAGAUAGAAUGGAGCCUGCA
This is a long non-coding RNA of Passer domesticus (house sparrow), 390 nucleotides long. RefSeq lists it as uncharacterized. NCBI's taxonomy places the organism in Eukaryota, Metazoa, Chordata, Aves, Passeriformes, Passeridae. The transcript has 2 exons. The record is from RefSeq and is a predicted model, not a curated record.